This 253-nucleotide ribosomal RNA is filed under the name uncultured bacterium. Its description in RNAcentral is "partial 16S ribosomal RNA". It matches the Rfam family "Bacterial small subunit ribosomal RNA", at positions 524 to 776 of the family's 1533-position model. The record is from RNAcentral.
UACGUAGGGUGCAAGCGUUGUCCGGAAUUAUUGGGCGUAAAGAGCUCGUAGGCGGUUUGUUGCGUCGGCUGUGAAAUCCCGAGGCUCAACCUCGGGUCUGCAGUCGAUACGAGCAAACUAGAGUGUUGCAGGGGAGACUGGAAUUCCUGGUGUAGCGGUGAAAUGCGCAGAUAUCAGGAGGAACACCGGUGGCGAAGGCGACUUCCUGGCCUGUUCUUGACGCUGAGGCGCGAAAGCUAGGGGAGCAAACGGG